AAAGUCGUAACAAGGUUUCCGUAGGUGAACCUGCGGAAGGAUCAUUACUGAUUUGGCGGACCGAGCGUCAGCGAGGUUCCGCGAUCACUUGUAUUUAAAACCCACACUUUUGAACGUAUACGUAUAUUUUCGUAUUUUUAAUAAUAAAAGAUCACUUUCAACAACGGAUCUCUUGGCUCUC
This 181-nucleotide unclassified non-coding RNA is filed under the name Glomeromycotina sp. Its description in RNAcentral is "partial contains small subunit ribosomal RNA, internal transcribed spacer 1, and 5.8S ribosomal RNA". The stretch from base 1 to 47 matches the Rfam family "Eukaryotic small subunit ribosomal RNA", at positions 1785 to 1831 of the family's 1831-position model. The record is from RNAcentral. Lineage: Eukaryota; Fungi; Glomeromycota.